AUACGUAGGGGGCAAGCGUUAUCCGGAUUUACUGGGUGUAAAGGGAGCGUAGGCGGCCUAGCAAGUCAGAUGUGAAAGCCCGGGGCUCAACUCCGGGAUUGCAUUUGAAACUGCCAGGCUAGAGUGCAGGAGAGGUAAGUGGAAUUCCUAGUGUAGCGGUGAAAUGCGUAGAUAUUAGGAGGAACACCAGUGGCGAAGGCGGCUUACUGGACUGUAACUGACGCUGAGGCUCGAAAGCGUGGGGAGCAAACAGGAUUAGAUACCCUGGUAGUCCACGCUGUAAACGAUGAAUACUAGGUGUCGGGGCCGUCAAGGCUUCGGUGCCGCAGCAAACGCAAUAAGUAUUCCACCUGGGGAGUACGUUGGCAAGAAUGAA
This 376-nucleotide ribosomal RNA is filed under the name uncultured bacterium. Its description in RNAcentral is "bacterial SSU rRNA". It matches the Rfam family "Bacterial small subunit ribosomal RNA", at positions 523 to 898 of the family's 1533-position model. The record is from RNAcentral.